AUUUCCUACGGGGGGCAGCAGUGGGGGAUAUUGCACAAUGGGGGAAACCCUGAUGCAGCGACGCCGCGUGAGUGAAGAAGUAUUUCGGUACGUAAAGCUCUAUCAGCAGGGAAGAAAAUGACGGUACCUGAGUAAGAAGCUCCGGCUAAAUACGUGCCAGCAGCCGCGGUAAUACGUAUAGAGCAAGCGUUAUCCGGAUUUACUGGGCGUAAAGGGAGCGUAGGCGGCCUGCCAAGUCUGAUGUGAAAAUCCAGCGCUUAACGUUGGAAGUGCUUUGGAAACUGCCGGGCUAGAGUGCAGGAGGG
This 305-nucleotide ribosomal RNA is filed under the name uncultured bacterium. RNAcentral describes it as "bacterial SSU rRNA". It matches the Rfam family "Bacterial small subunit ribosomal RNA", at positions 334 to 656 of the family's 1533-position model. The record is from RNAcentral.